GUGAUGAUAGGAACCCGGCGGACAUGUGACUGUCGGCAUCCUAUCUGA
This 48-nucleotide small nucleolar RNA is filed under the name Pyrobaculum islandicum DSM 4184. Its description in RNAcentral is "PISsR60". Lineage: Archaea; Thermoproteati; Thermoproteota; Thermoprotei; Thermoproteales; Thermoproteaceae. The record is from RNAcentral.